RNAcentral lists this transfer RNA (72 nucleotides) under Camelus bactrianus (Bactrian camel). It matches the Rfam family "tRNA". From Rfam's summary of the family: Transfer RNA (tRNA) molecules are approximately 80 nucleotides in length. Their secondary structure includes four short double-helical elements and three loops (D, anti-codon, and T loops). RNAcentral also lists the same sequence under 2 other names. The record is from Rfam by way of RNAcentral. Lineage: Eukaryota; Metazoa; Chordata; Mammalia; Artiodactyla; Camelidae.
GAAGGUACAGCUCAGUGGUAGAGUGUGUGCUUAGCAAGCAUGAGGUCCUGGGUUCAAUCCCCAGUACCUCUA